RNAcentral lists this ribosomal RNA (55 nucleotides) under Fusarium proliferatum. RNAcentral describes it as "partial 28S ribosomal RNA". The record is from RNAcentral. Lineage: Eukaryota; Fungi; Ascomycota; Sordariomycetes; Hypocreales; Nectriaceae.
CCUCGGAUCAGGUAGGAAUACCCGCUGAACUUAAGCAUAUCAAUAAGCCGGAGGA